CGGGUAAUACCUGAUGAGACCACGGUGGCGCAGGCCACAGCGGUCAAAGGGUGGGGACUCCUUCGGGAGCCUACCGGCUUAGGAGCGGCCCAUGUCCUAUCAGCUUGUUGGUGAGGUAAAGGCUCACCAAGGCUAUGAUGGGUACCGGGACUGAGAGGUUGACCCGGCGCAUUGGGACUGAGACACUGCCCAGACUCCUACGGGAGGCUGCAGUAACGAAUAUUCCACAAUGGACGAAAGUCUGAUGGAGCGACGCCGCGUGCAGGAUGAAGCUCCUCGGAGUGUAAACUGCAAUCCAGGGAUCACCAAGCAGAGGGAUCUAAUAUAUCCCCGAGUUGAGGACUCCCAGGGAAGCCACGGCUAACUUCGUGCCAGCAGCCGCGGUAAGACGAAGGUGGCUAGCGUUGUUCGGAAUCACUGGGCUUAAAGGGCACGCAGGCGGCCCGUCAAGCGUCUUGUGAAAUCCCUCGGCUCAACCGAGGAAUUGCGGGGCGAACUGACUGGGCUUGAGGCAGGUAGGGGCGAGUGGAACUCUUGGUGGAGCGGUGGAAUGCGUAGAUAUCAAGAGGAACGCCGGAGGCGAAGGCGACUCGCUGGGCCUGUCCUGACGCUGAGGUGCGAAAGCCAGGGGAGCGAACGGGAUUAGAUACCCCGGUAGUCCUGGCCCUAAACGAUGUCCACUAGGUCGCAGUACUUCUGACAGUAUUGCGGCCGAAACAAAAGCGUUAAGUGGACCGCCUGGGGAGUACGGUCGCAAGGCUAAAACUCAAAGGAAUUGACGGGGGCUCACACAAGCGGUGGAGCAUGUUGCUCAAUUCGAUCAACGCGAAGAACCUUAUCCUGGGCUUGACAUACACGGAUGCCCCUCCUGAAAGGGAACGGGUUACCUUCGGGUGAAACGUGAACAGGUGCUGCAUGGCUGUCGUCAGCUCGUGUCGUGAGAUGUUGGGUUAAGUCCCGUAACGAGCGAAACCCUUGUCGUUAGUUGCCAGCGCGUAAUGGCGGGGACUCUAACGAGACUGCCGGUGUUAAACCGGAGGAAGGUGGGGAUGACGUCAAGUCCUCAUGGCCUUUAUGCCCAGGGCUGCAAACGUGCUGCAAUGGCGUGUACAAACCGACGCAAAACGGCGACGUCGAGCAAAUCGGAAAAAGCACGCCCCAGUUCGGAUCGGAGUCUGCAACUCGACUCCGUGAGGUUGGAAUCGCUAGUAAUCGCGUAUCAGAACGACGCGGUGAAUGUGUUCCUGAGCCUUGUACC
This 1258-nucleotide ribosomal RNA is filed under the name metagenome. Its description in RNAcentral is "bacterial SSU rRNA". It matches the Rfam family "Bacterial small subunit ribosomal RNA", at positions 160 to 1387 of the family's 1533-position model. The record is from RNAcentral.